RNAcentral lists this ribosomal RNA (870 nucleotides) under Triticum aestivum (bread wheat). RNAcentral's name for it is "partial small subunit ribosomal RNA". The record is from RNAcentral. Lineage: Eukaryota; Viridiplantae; Streptophyta; Magnoliopsida; Poales; Poaceae.
AUGGGUAAAGCUUCCUUGCCGUUCCCGAGUCUCAUCGUUCCCCUCGUUCUGCUUCUUCUGCCGCUCUCGCGCCCGGCGUCGGUGGUGACCCAUCUCCCCGGCUUCCAUGGCCGCCUUCCCUUCCACCUGGAGACCGGGUACGUCGGCGUGGACGAGGAGACGGGGGCGGAGCUCUUCUACUACUUCGUGGAGUCCGAGAGGAGCCCCGAAACGGACCCCCUGAUCCUGUGGAUGACGGGUGGGCCCUUCUGCUCUGGCAUGAUUUUCUUCGAAGUUGGUCCUAUGAAAUUUGUGUUGGCACCGUAUAAUGGUAGUUUGCCACAGUUGACCUAUAAUCCCUAUUCAUGGUCCAAGACAGCAAGCAUCACCUUGUUGGACUCACCAGUUGGUACUGGUUUCUCGUACGCUCGUGAUGUCAAAGGUUAUCACGAUAUUGGGGAUUUUUCCUUUUCUAUGCAUGUCGUGAUAUUUCUCAACAAGUGGUUUACCGACCACCCACACUACCAAUCCAAUCCUUUCUUUGUUGGAGGAAGUUCAUAUGCUGGAAAGAUGUCUCCAAUUAUUGCACAACACAUUUCGCAAGAAAUCGAACUGGGGAAGCAACCCAGGAUUAAUCUCAAGGGCUAUGUAGUCGGCAACCCUGUUACAGGCUCAGAUUAUGAUGACAAUUUCAGAGUACCAUAUGCUCAUGGUGUUGGGAUUAUAUCCGAUCAACUAUAUGAGGCUGCAAUUUUGAAUUGUAAAGGAAGCUAUAUAAGACCGACAAACAAAAUGUGUGUCAGGGUGCUAAACACAUUUCAAAAUUCAUACCGUUACUACCUAUGUAAUAUUUGGGCGAACGAUGAUUCCACGAGAGAAGCUCUUGGGUGA